This 300-nucleotide ribosomal RNA is filed under the name uncultured Staphylothermus sp. RNAcentral describes it as "bacterial SSU rRNA". It matches the Rfam family "Bacterial small subunit ribosomal RNA", at positions 495 to 794 of the family's 1533-position model. Lineage: Archaea; Thermoproteati; Thermoproteota; Thermoprotei; Desulfurococcales; Desulfurococcaceae. The record is from RNAcentral.
AGCGGACUGAGGGCCAGCAGAGCGGGGAAUGCGAAGUGGGCAAGCGUUGUUCGGAUUUACUGGGCGUACAGGGAGCGUAGGCGGUGGGAUAAGCCCUCCGUGAAAGCUCCAGGCGGAACCUGGAAAGUGCAGAGGGGACUGGUCAGCUAGAGGAGGGGAGAGGAGCGCGGAAGUCCCGGUGUAGCGGUGAAAUGCGUAGAGAUCGGGAGGAAGGCCGGUGGCGAAGGCGGCGCUCUGGAACAUUUCUGACGCUGAGGCUCGAAAGCGUGGGGAGCAAACAGGAUUAGAUACCCGUGUAGC